RNAcentral lists this ribosomal RNA (484 nucleotides) under uncultured bacterium. RNAcentral's name for it is "partial 16S ribosomal RNA". It matches the Rfam family "Bacterial small subunit ribosomal RNA", at positions 30 to 507 of the family's 1533-position model. The record is from RNAcentral.
AUUGAACGCUGGCGGCAGGCCUAACACAUGCAAGUCGAGCGGAUGAAGGGAGCUUGCUCCUGGAUUCAGCGGCGGACGGGUGAGUAAUGCCUAGGAAUCUGCCUGGUCGUGGGGGAUAACGUCCGGAAACGGGCGCUAAUACCGCAUACGUCCUGAGGGAGAAAGGGGGGGAUCUUCGGACCUCACGCGAUCAGAUGAGCCUAGGUCGGAUUAGCUAGUUGGUGGGGUAAAGGCCUACCAAGGCGACGAUCCGUAACUGGUCUGAGAGGAUGAUCAGUCACACUGGAACUGAGACACGGUCCAGACUCCUACGGGAGGCAGCAGUGGGGAAUCUUGGACAAUGGGCGAAAGCCUGAUCCAGCCACGCCGCGUGUGUGAAGAAGGUCUUCGGAUUGUAAAGCACUUUAAGUUGGGAGGAAGGGCAGUGAGUUAAUAUCUUGCUGUUUUGACGUUACCAAAAGAAUAGGCACCGGCUAACUUCGUG